Molecule: ribosomal RNA, 654 nt
Filed under: Salmonella enterica subsp. enterica serovar Apeyeme
Lineage: Bacteria; Pseudomonadati; Pseudomonadota; Gammaproteobacteria; Enterobacterales; Enterobacteriaceae
Description: partial 23S ribosomal RNA
Rfam family: Bacterial large subunit ribosomal RNA
Source: RNAcentral
GAAGGUGGCCUGUGAGGGUUGCUGGAGGUAUCAGAAGUGCGAAUGCUGACAUAAGUAACGAUAAAGCGGGUGAAAAGCCCGCUCGCCGGAAGACCAAGGGUUCCUGUCCAACGUUAAUCGGGGCAGGGUGAGUCGACCCCUAAGGCGAGGCCGAAAGGCGUAGUCGAUGGGAAACGGGUUAAUAUUCCCGUACUUGGUGUUACUGCGAAGGGGGGACGGAGAAGGCUAUGUUGGCCGGGCGACGGUUGUCCCGGUUUAAGCGUGUAGGUGUGUGUUCCAGGUAAAUCCGGUUCACUUUAACACUGAGGCGUGACGACGAGGCACUACGGUGCUGAAGCAACAAAUGCCCUGCUUCCAGGAAAAGCCUCUAAGCAUCAGGUAACAUCAAAUCGUACCCCAAACCGACACAGGUGGUCAGGUAGAGAAUACCAAGGCGCUUGAGAGAACUCGGGUGAAGGAACUAGGCAAAAUGGUGCCGUAACUUCGGGAGAAGGCACGCUGACACGUAGGUGAAGUGAUUUACUCACGGAGCUGAAGUCAGUCGAAGAUACCAGCUGGCUGCAACUGUUUAUUAAAAACACAGCACUGUGCAAACACGAAAGUGGACGUAUACGGUGUGACGCCUGCCCGGUGCCGGAAGGUUAAUUGAUGGGG